This is a small nucleolar RNA of Octodon degus (degu), 83 nucleotides long. Ensembl annotates it as small nucleolar RNA, C/D box 19B. The record is from Ensembl. Lineage: Eukaryota; Metazoa; Chordata; Mammalia; Rodentia; Octodontidae.
GGAUGGUUGAAAUAUGAUGAGUAUAUGAGAAGUUGAUAAAAAAAGUGAAAAAUAACAAGAUCCAACUCUGAUUUCAUCCAAAG